This 223-nucleotide ribosomal RNA is filed under the name Salmonella enterica subsp. enterica serovar Kentucky. RNAcentral's name for it is "partial 23S ribosomal RNA". It matches the Rfam family "Bacterial large subunit ribosomal RNA", at positions 1144 to 1284 of the family's 2925-position model. The record is from RNAcentral. Lineage: Bacteria; Pseudomonadati; Pseudomonadota; Gammaproteobacteria; Enterobacterales; Enterobacteriaceae.
ACUGGUCGAGUCGGCCUGCGCGGAAGAUGUAACGGGGCUAAACCAUGCACCGAAGCUGCGGCAGCGAACGUAUCACUUAAAGCGAUUCAGCGGAUGACGAUUGACGGAGCGAAGCGACGUCAAAGCGUAUACAAAGUCGAGUCGGUUUAAGGAUACGUUCGUUGGGUAGGGGAGCGUUCUGUAAGCCUGUGAAGGUGGCCUGUGAGGGUUGCUGGAGGUAUCA